Molecule: ribosomal RNA, 504 nt
Filed under: uncultured bacterium
Lineage: Bacteria
Description: partial 16S ribosomal RNA
Rfam family: Bacterial small subunit ribosomal RNA
Source: RNAcentral
GACGAACGCUGGCGGCGUGCCUAAUACAUGCAAGUAGAACGCACAGUUUAUACCGUAGCUUGCUACACCAUAGACUGUGAGUUGCGAACGGGUGAGUAACGCGUAGGUAACCUGCCUGGUAGCGGGGGAUAACUAUUGGAAACGAUAGCUAAUACCGCAUAAUAUUGAUUAUUGCAUGAUAAUUGAUUGAAAGAUGCUAUUGCAUCACUACCAGAUGGACCUGCGUUGUAUUAGCUAGUAGGUGAGGUAACGGCUCACCUAGGCGACGAUACAUAGCCGACCUGAGAGCGUGAUCGGCCACACUGGGACUGAGACACGGCCCAGACUCCUACGGGAGGCAGCAGUAGGGAAUCUUCGGCAAUGGACGAAAGUCUGACCGAGCAACGCCGCGUGAGUGAAGAAGGUUUUCGGAUCGUAAAGCUCUGUUGUAAGUGAAGAACGGGUGUGAGAGUGGAAAGUUCACACUGGGACGGUAUCUUACCAGAAAGGGACGGCAAACUACGU